GCGAGGCGCACCUAGGGUUCCUCCGAUCCUCGCCGGAUCGGGUUUGCGACCGAGAGGUGCAGGCAGGGCUUCGGCCCUGUUCCACGGCGGGAUAAAAGCCCGGGAGGC
This 108-nucleotide small RNA is filed under the name Nakamurella panacisegetis. RNAcentral describes it as "Guanidine-I sequence". It matches the Rfam family "Guanidine-I riboswitch aptamer". From Rfam's summary of the family: This family represents a conserved RNA structure found upstream of the ykkC and yxkD genes in Bacillus subtilis and related genes in other bacteria. Lineage: Bacteria; Bacillati; Actinomycetota; Actinomycetes; Nakamurellales; Nakamurellaceae. The record is from Rfam by way of RNAcentral.